GAUAGAAAAAGAGCACACAAAUAGUUUUGCUUUGAAGUUCCUACGUAAUUACUGUUAAGAUCUAUCAAAAUGUACUGUGAGACAGCUCUUUUUGCUCAAAUCUGAUGAAUGAAAGGGCAGGCAACAUCCGGGAAGACUUUUUAAAAGAAUGGAUCAAAUUAAGAAAAGAACAAAUGCAACCAAGUUUAUAUCUUUGCUGCUCCUUGCUGCACAUCACUGGAAAUGUAUAUAUUGCAUUUUAACCUCAGUGACUGAUGGACUCUCUGGAGAAAUUGAAUUCCUUUUCCAGUGAGAGGAGUAUUUAACAGGAGGAGAAGAAUCAUAGAAUCAUGGGAUUUUCAAGCUGAGAGAACCUGGAGACACAGAGCUCAAGUGAAAAGGAAAUCAUAGAUCGAAGGAAAACGUGGAGAAUUGGAGUUUAGGGGAUACCAGAUUUGUCAAUGGAAUUAUUUCGGUCUAUGCCUAGAAAUACAUUAACUGUCAGGGAGUCACGCCUUUGUGAAUGUUCCAGCAACCAAAUCAAAUUAUAGGACCCAACACACUGUCAGGAGUCCUUUCUAAAUAUUUAAACCCUCUAGCUCCACACCAUUUGUAGAUUCGAGAUCAUUAAUUUACUCUUGGAUUGUUAAUUAUAUCGAAGCAAUGGGAAACUGAGCUUGUAGGUUUUAUGGACGCCGCUUCUGUGCAAGUGAUUGUUGGUACUUUCAGGGACUAAAAGCUUAAACUUUAACUGCAUUUUAAGCAUUUGAGACCGGGGGAAGUGGGAGCUGCGAGUAAAUGCUUUCAGCAGGGCUUGCUACACUGGGAUGAUAGAAGCCCGGGGCUUCCUGUGACCUUGCCUCACCCCCGCCUCACCCACUAUGCCACGGAAAGGAAGCCCCAGUCAGGAGGGAGAAUAUGGCAAAUGGACAGAGAAGCCGAGAUGAGAGACGGAGAGAGGGAACCCUCAUGCCAUGAUGUGCUGCUGAAACCAAGGCCACACCUGUCCUUCCCACUCCUUAAGCCGAUAACGGUUUGAACUGGGAUCCUGUUACUUCCCAUCAACAGACCUUUGACGAAUAGGGUU
This is a long non-coding RNA of Lemur catta (Ring-tailed lemur), 1066 nucleotides long. RefSeq lists it as uncharacterized. NCBI's taxonomy places the organism in Eukaryota, Metazoa, Chordata, Mammalia, Primates, Lemuridae. The transcript is spliced from 3 exons. The record is from RefSeq and is a predicted model, not a curated record.